GGCUUAGCAGACUGAUAAUCUAAGUUCUCAGAACUUCUCUCACCCUAGUUUGAAAACCUUGCCCCGGGGAAGUGUUUCUCUGAAGAGAGACUAUUAUUUACCUUUGUUUUGUUUAUGGAAAAGAAAAGUACAAAUGCUGCAUUUAUUGAGAGACUGAAAGGAUGGCAGAUAAAAAUUUCCUCUUCCCUUUGAGACUUUGACAAAUUUCACUGAUAAUCUUUUAAUUCAAAACAACAUCUCAGAUUUUGUCAACGAAGAACAGACUUACUUCAUUUCUAGCAUAACGAAAGAAAUAAAGUAGAUUAAAUAGUGGGUCGGCGCACAUUUUGCUAGCUACCGUGCUGAUGUGUCUGUCUAUGUCAUGGAACACUGUGGCUCCCAAGUUCAGCACUUUGACAAAAUAUAUGACCGCUGAAGCUUUUCUGGGCCUGUGCACGGAGAGCUGGC
RNAcentral lists this long non-coding RNA (447 nucleotides) under Equus caballus (horse). RNAcentral describes it as "lncRNA (ENSECAG00000058393.1)". Lineage: Eukaryota; Metazoa; Chordata; Mammalia; Perissodactyla; Equidae. The record is from RNAcentral.